GACGAACGCUGGCGGCGUGCUUAACACAUGCAAGUCGAACGGUAAGGCCCUGCUUUUGUGGGGUGCUCGAGUGGCGAACGGGUGAGUAACACGUGAGUAACCUGCCCUCGACUUUGGGAUAACUUCAGGAAACUGGGGCUAAUACCGGAUAGGAGCUCCUGCUGCAUGGUGGGGGUUGGAAAGUUUCGGCGGUUGGGGAUGGACUCGCGGCUUAUCAGCUUGUUGGUUGGGUAGUGGCUAACCAAGGCUUUGACGGGUAGCCGGCCUGAGAGGGUGACCGGCCGCAUUGGGACUGAGAUACGGCCCAGACUCCGACGGGAGGGAGCAGUGGGGGAUAUUGCACAAUGGGCGGAAGCCAGAUGCAGCAACGCCGCGAGCGGGAUAACGGCCUUCGGGUUGUAUACCGCUUGAGCAAGUGACGAAGCGUGAGUGACGGUAAUGGGUAAAGAAGCACCGGCUAACUACGUG
RNAcentral lists this ribosomal RNA (468 nucleotides) under uncultured bacterium. RNAcentral describes it as "partial 16S ribosomal RNA". It matches the Rfam family "Bacterial small subunit ribosomal RNA", at positions 28 to 507 of the family's 1533-position model. The record is from RNAcentral.